Molecule: ribosomal RNA, 466 nt
Filed under: uncultured bacterium
Lineage: Bacteria
Description: bacterial SSU rRNA
Rfam family: Bacterial small subunit ribosomal RNA
Source: RNAcentral
CCUACGGGUGGCACCAGUGGGGAAUCUUGGGCAAUGGGCGAGAGCCUGACCCAGCGACGCCGCGUGAGGGAAGAAGGCCCUCGGGUCGUAAACCUCUGUCAGGAGGGAAGAAAAUGCUACAUAUUAACAGUGUGUAGUAUUGACGGUACCUCCAGAGGAAGCGCCGGCCAACUCCGUGCCAGCAGCCGCGGUAAUACGGAGGGCGCAAGCGUUAUUCGGAAUUACUGGGCGUAAAGCGCGCGUAGGCGGCAACGUAAGUCAGGUGUGAAAGUCCUCGGCUCACCCGGGGGAUGGCACUUGAAACUGCGUAGCUGGAGUUCUGGAGAGGGUGGCGGAAUUCCCGGUGUAGGAGUGAAAUCCGUAGAGAUCGGGAGGAACACCAGAGGCGAAGGCGGCCACCUGGCCAGAAACUGACGCUGAGGCGCGAAAGCGUGGGUAGCAAACAGGAUUAGAUACCCUAGUAGUC